CACACACACACACACACACACACACACACACACACACACACACAGAUUAUAGUGUACAAGUGCAACCAAAAAAGAACCAGAAGUUAGAGAGGGUAAGAUUUGAACUCUGAAUCAGUGAACAGUGGCCUCAAUUUUCAAAUGAGCUUAUGUUACUAUCCCUAUUUAUGGAUAGUAGAUAUGGUAUAGACUUGCAUUCAGCCCUUCAUUCAUGUCUUUAUUGUUCACACUAGUGAAGGGAGCAAAGAAGACAUAACCCAAAAAUCUUUCAAGGAAAAUACAUUUUAACAUUUACUCAUUAAUAUAGUUAUAUGACAUGUCCAAGAAAUAUACUUAUAAGCAAAUAAUGAAGACAUUGUAAAGCUCUUGGUUUUCCAUUACAAAAGUAAUCACACUGCCCAAAAGAGUAGUGUAGUAGGCGCUGGGAAUAUGGCCUAGUGGCAAGAGUGCUUGCCUCCCAUACAUGAA
Molecule: long non-coding RNA, 465 nt
Organism: Perognathus longimembris pacificus (Pacific pocket mouse)
Lineage: Eukaryota; Metazoa; Chordata; Mammalia; Rodentia; Heteromyidae
Exons: 3
Source: RefSeq, a predicted model, not a curated record